AUAAUGCCCACGGGUCAAAGCAGCAAUGCGCUUGGAGAGGAGUUCGCGGCCGAUUAGCUAGUUGGCGGGGUAAUGGCCCACCAAGGCGAUGAUCGGUAUCCGGCCUGAGAGGGCGCACGGACACACUGGAACUGAAACACGGUCCAGACUCCUACGGGAGGCAGCAGUGGGGAAUUUUGCGCAAUGGGGGAAACCCUGACGCAGCAACGCCGCGUGGAGGAUGAAAUCCCUUGGGAUGUAAACUCCUUUCGAUAGGGACGAUGAUGACGGUACCUAUAGAAGAAGCCCCGGCUAACUUCGUGCCAGCAGCCGCGGUAAUACGAGGGGGGCAAGCGUUGUUCGGAAUUAUUGGGCGUAAAGGGUGCGUAGGCGGUUUGGUAAGUCUUGUGUGAAAUCUCCGGGCUCAACUCGGAGCCUGCACGAGAAACUGCCGGGCUUGAGUGUGGGAGAGGUGAGUGGAUUUCCCGGUGUAGCGGUGAAAUGCGUAGAUAUCGGGAGGAACACCUGUGCGAAAGCGGCUCACUGGACCACAACUGACGCUGAUGCACGAAAGCUAGGGGAGCAAACAGGAUUAGAUACCCUGGUAGUCCUAGCCCUAAACGAUGAUUGCUUGGUGUGACGGGUACCCAAUCCCGCCGUGCCGUAGCUAACGCGUUAAGCAAUCCGCCUGGGGAGUACGGUCGCAAGGCUGAA
Molecule: ribosomal RNA, 693 nt
Filed under: uncultured bacterium
Lineage: Bacteria
Description: bacterial SSU rRNA
Rfam family: Bacterial small subunit ribosomal RNA
Source: RNAcentral